This 253-nucleotide ribosomal RNA is filed under the name uncultured bacterium. RNAcentral describes it as "partial 16S ribosomal RNA". It matches the Rfam family "Bacterial small subunit ribosomal RNA", at positions 524 to 776 of the family's 1533-position model. The record is from RNAcentral.
UACGAAGGGAGCUAGCGUUGUUCGGAAUCACUGGGCGUAAAGCGCACGUAGGCGGAUUUGCCAGUCAGGGGUGAAAUCCCGGGGCUCAACCUCGGAACUGCCUUUGAUACAGCAAGUCUUGAGUUCGAGAGAGGUGGGUGGAAUUCCAGGUGUAGCGGUGAAAUGCGUAGAUAUCUGGAGGAACACCGGUGGCGAAGGCGGCAUCCUGGACCGGUAUUGACGCUGAGGCGCGAAAGCUAGGGGAGCAAACGGG